Methylomicrobium album BG8 is the source of this 28-nucleotide non-coding RNA. NCBI's taxonomy places the organism in Bacteria, Pseudomonadati, Pseudomonadota, Gammaproteobacteria, Methylococcales, Methylococcaceae. The record is from Rfam.
GUUCACUGCCGUACAGGUAGCUUAGAAA